RNAcentral lists this ribosomal RNA (661 nucleotides) under uncultured archaeon. RNAcentral describes it as "bacterial SSU rRNA". It matches the Rfam family "Archaeal small subunit ribosomal RNA", at positions 253 to 918 of the family's 1478-position model. The record is from RNAcentral.
CAAACCGAUAACGGGUACGGGCUAUGGAAGUAGGAGCCCGGAGAUGGAUUCUGAGACAUAAAUCCAGGUACUACGGUAUGCCGCAGGCGAGAAACCUUUUCAAUCUGCUACCGCAGGAAAAGGGAACCCAGAGUGUUCUUGUUUUACAAGAACUUUUGUCUUCUGUAAACGGGAAGACGAAUAAGGGGUGGGUAAGACGGGUGCCAGCCGCCGCGGUAAUACCCGCACCCCGAGUGAUAGCCACGGUUAUUGGGUCUAAAGCGUCCGUAGCCGAUUUAGCAAGUCCCUAGUGAAAUCUUUCAGCAAACUGAGAGGCGUGCUAGGGAUACUGCCAGAUUUGAGACCGGGAGAGGGUAGGGGUACUCUCAGGGUAGGGGUGAAAUCCUGUAAUCCUGAGGGACCACCUGUGGCGAAGGCGCCUACCUGGAACGGGUCUGACGGUGAGGGACGAAAGCUAGGGGAGCGAUCGGGAUUAGAUACCCCGGUAGUCCUAGCCGUAAACUUUGCCCUCUUGGUGUUGCAAGCUUCUCGGGAGCUUGCAGUGCCGGAGCGUAGGUGUUAAGAGGGCCACCUGGGGAGUACGACCGCAAGGUUGAAACUUAAGGGAAUUGGCGGGGGAGCACACAAGGGGUGGGCGUUGCGGUUCAAUUGGAUUCAACGC